CUCAGAAAAAAUAUAAAGACCGAUCGGCGACGCUAUAGCUUUGGGUACUUUCAGGACCCGUCUUGAAACACGGACCAAGGAGUCUAGCAUGUACGCGAGUCAUUGGGAAUAUCACUAAACCUAAAGGCGUAAUGAAAGUGAAGGUCUUCCUCGCGAAGACCGAGGGAAGACGGACGGUUGAUUAUUUGAACGGAGACCACCCUAAAAAGUGGGACCGUCCCGCAUUCCCGGGGCGUCUCGUUCACAUCGCGUGAAGAGGCGCACCAAGAGCGUACACGCUGGGACCCGAAAGAUGGUGAACUAUGCCUGGUCAGGACGAAGUCAGGGGAAACCCUGAUGGAGGUCCGUAGCGAUUCU
Molecule: ribosomal RNA, 357 nt
Filed under: Euwallacea andamanensis
Lineage: Eukaryota; Metazoa; Arthropoda; Insecta; Coleoptera; Curculionidae
Description: eukaryotic LSU rRNA
Rfam family: Eukaryotic large subunit ribosomal RNA
Source: RNAcentral